GAGCGAGUGAAACAGUGCAGUGACUGAAGAGAAUUCUCUCCCGUUUCCCAUGAUUUAUCACAGGCGAGGUCACGGCAGGUUAAAAUACUUGAACGCCGCGAUAGCAUACGUCCUGGCAUGGUUUUAUGAGUAGUCAUUCAUAACAUAUUUGUCGCAAAGCAUAAUUUCCAAGAUAGAACCCUGAUCCACAUGCAGUUUUUUUUUUUCACAGCAACAACACAGGCGCAGUAACUCCUUCGUGGAGACUGCUUCCAUUUUCACAAUGUCCAGCUCCACGCUAGAGCUUCGGGGAAAGGGACCGAGGAAGUGACUGGUUCGCCAACUGAAACUACAAAUCCUAGAGCUGCAACUAUAUUUUAUAAAUGGCCCUCGUUUGGUUCCUGCAUAACAAAUAGUGUCCUCUCAUUGAUGGGGACUGUUUCAUGCGCCUGCCUUUUUGGAGAAAGAAAACAACUUCUAGUCUCAGGCUUGUAUGAAUCCAGCACUGUCUUUCACAACUUGUUUUCGCCUCAGCGACUUGACAUGGCUCCCUAUCCAUCGCCGGUCCCCACGCUCCACGGUAACGAGAUUUUAAAAACUGUCCAUUUGGCUCCUUCCUGAGGUUUUACUCAUUUUGAAACUUUGCCACGCUGGCUGGCAUGUUUCACAUUUGCUUAUCUCUGAGCUUACUCCCAAGAGCUGCUGAACUUUCCCUUCCAUGUCACUAAGCUGGGACAGAGUGAAGACGGAGAGGAAAGAGUUACUGUCUCACAAGCUGUGACUUUGUCUGUCCAGAGUGGCCCUUGGAUGCAGCUCAUUAUUUGUGGAAAUAGUGUGUGCCACGGGCAAAAAUAACUUUUUAAAAAAAGCACAUCUCUGUACCCUCCUGAAGUCAUCUCAAAAUGAAGUCAAGAUUUCUCAUGAAACGGAGAGAGCUUUAUCAUGGCCCGAGUGGGUCCUUGAGUACUUGUCCCCGCCACAUUGUCUGCUCUGAGCAACCUGAGGGUCCAGACCAAGCUAAAAGAGGCUUCAUGAUGAGCCCUGGGACAGACAAGACUGGGAGCCUUGGUGAAAGGGAGGAGACCCUGUGUCCCCGGUUUUGCCAAGUCAGCCUGGCCCAUCCUCUGACAGCUAAAUCAACACUCUUUAUCCUGUGGCGACUGAUAACGCAUCCACCGCUUCCUGCCAAGGAGGAAAUCCUGAUGGGACAUUAUCAGGGGCGAGACAUCAUCCGUCAGCCGCCGUCACAGGAACCCAGGGCUCAUCCAGACCCCACGCCAAUCUUUCCGCCUUUAUCUGCGCUCCCCAAAUGCCUCAGCCUGUUUGCUGAUAGAGGAAUCCGGCAUCUCCUCUUCUCAAGGACCCGAAAAAGAUUCUUCGAUAGCAAGAAACUAAGCGUGCCUUGCUCAGACCCCAAAGUGCCUUUCCAAAGAAUGGAUGGAAGAGGAACAGAUGCUGCCCUGAAGCUGCCCAUCGGACACGCAAAAGAAAAAGAGAAAACAGACAAGGUGACACCAAGAAGUCGGGAUGAGAAGGUGAAGAGACCCGGGAAAUCAAUGGCGACCUUGGCCAAGGCGAGGACAUGGAGUUCGGAAGGGGGGAUGGGGGGGUCCUGAGGCUGCAUAGACGCGCUGCCCUCUGCUCUCCACCUGUGCCCUGCGACCCAUCAGCUGAGCUCAGGCUGCCCCAGAAGGCGGUCCUUAAGGGGUCAGAGUGCAUGCUGACCACCCCGAGCUGUGCUUUGGACUCAGACUUACAGACACAGUCCCUCCCCGCCGGCUGAAGACCAAGGACCACCGCUGUGGAAGGCAGAGAAGUGACCUCAGGGAGGUGCAGUCUUGGGGAGCCCUGUCCCCUUGGGUGGGAGGGGCUGGUGAUGUGACCGAUGACACUGCCAUGAGCAGGGGACACUCUGUGGCUAAAGUCAAGAGGUUUUUUUGUUUUUUGGGAUAGAGUUGCUUUAUCAUGUUGUGUUAGUUUCAGGUGUACAGCAAAGUGAAUCAGUUCUACAUAUACUUAUAUCCAUUCUUUUUCAGAGUCUUUUCCCAAAGAGGUUAUGACAGAAUAUUCCAGAGAGGAGUUCUCACUGUGGUACAGGGGAUUAAGACUCUGACUGCAGCAACCCCGGUCACUGUGGGGGCACGGUUUCAAUUGCCAGCCCAGCACAGUGGGUUAAAGGAUCCAGCAUUGCCCAGCUUCAGCAUGGGUUACAGCUGUGGCUCGGAUUCAGUCACAGGAACUUCCAUAUGCCGGGAGUGUGGAUUUAUAAUGCUGUGCCGAUUUCGGCCAUGCAGCAUAGUGACCCAGAAAAACAAUAUAUAAUAAUAUUCUUUAUAUUUAUAUUAUAUAUUCUUUUUCUCAUACUGUUAUUUCACUUCAAUGAAAGUGAAAUAACAUAGAAUAACAUAACAUAGAAUAUAUAUAGAGAGAAUAUAUACAUUCUUUUUCUCAUACUGUUAUUUCUCUUCAAUGCCCAAAACCCUUCUGGGACGUGAGCGUUUCUAACCCCGUUUUCCAUGAAGACGCAGAGCGUCUCGAGGGACUUUAAUUACUCCAGGUCCCAGGGGAGCUGAGAUUCAGAGGAUGACCUCCCCGAUCCUGGAAGCUCAUGUCUCUCCCCUCCAUCCGUCACUUCUCAGGCUCCCUCUAGGCCUGGGAGUAGCGAGGACCAGCAGAAGUGCUGCCAAUCAGAUUGCAGGCCGGAGGCUGGGGGCCGCUGGGCUGCAUUAGCCUGCCGCUCCCAAAGCCCAGCAGAAUCAGAGAUCCAUUUCCCUAGGGAAGAGCCUUUCCAAGUUUCAAAAAAAAAAAAAAAAAAAAAGCCUGCCUAGAGAGGGGGAAGGAUGAGUCCCUAUACAAGCAUAUUUAUAUCCAUAGAUAUUCCACGCCAUAGGGGGUAUGAAUCCCAGAGGGCAGAUGUCACCAGCUACAUGCUCCGAUGGGAAAAUUGAGGAGGGCUAGGUUACCAGCAUUUCCCAAACACACUCAAAAAAGAAACUAUGCUCCCUUACACACACACACACACACACACACACACACAGGCUCUCCUCUCAGGCCUGCAGAGGGAAAACAGUCCACGCCUGUCCAGCUCAUCCAGGUCAGGCAGACCCUUCCAGUUAGCGCUGGCUUCAGCCGUUUUCAUCACAACUUUCACUGAAACAAUUCUCUGCCAAGUUGUCGUGUGCCUCUCCUGAGCCCUCAAGAGCAAAAUCUGCUUGGCUUUUUUUUUUUUUUUUUUUUUAAUAUUGCUCAGAAUCAGUUUUUUCCUCCACUCAGAUAAUUCAUUAGCAUUCCUUAUCCCAGGCCUCUCUUCCCUGCAGGGCACCUCCCAGCCACCGGCAUUCCAGAGCUGGCCGGGCUUCUUCCAGGCUCCUGGGCUCUUCCCAAACCUCCCUCCACUUCUUUUCAUUGCAGGGCAGGAGCCUGGGGCUCGCCAGAGAGCAACAACAUGUGGGUAGAGUAAGAGAUCCCUCUGUGCCCCCUGAUGACACAAUGCCCCUUCCCCACUGUCUGAACCAGGAAUCUGUAUGUUACAUCACAUAGCAAGAGGUGUUAAGGCUGCACGUGGAAUUAAGCUCGAUAAUCAGCCAACCUUGCAACAGAGUUUAUCCAGGUGGGCCCAAUAUGAUCACAAGCAUCCUUCAACGUGGGAGAGGGAGGCCGAAGGGAGAGGGCAGAGCCAUAUCACGUGAUAAGAUCUUGCCCCACCUGCUGGCUUUGAAGAUGAAUAGGGAGCCAAGAGACAAAAACCAUGGGCGCCCUCUAAAGCUGGAAAGGGCAAGGAAACAACUCGCCCCUAAAACUUCCACAGGGGAAAGUAGCCCUGAUAAUACUGUGAUGUUAGCCCCGGAAGAUCCGCUUUGGACUUCUGACCACCACAACCGCCAAGAUAAUAAAUGAGCAUCAUUUGAAACCA
This 3892-nucleotide long non-coding RNA is filed under the name Sus scrofa (pig). Its description in RNAcentral is "lncRNA (ENSSSCG00065031906.1)". The record is from RNAcentral. Lineage: Eukaryota; Metazoa; Chordata; Mammalia; Artiodactyla; Suidae.